RNAcentral lists this ribosomal RNA (1985 nucleotides) under human oral metagenome. RNAcentral describes it as "bacterial LSU rRNA". It matches the Rfam family "Bacterial large subunit ribosomal RNA", at positions 1 to 1980 of the family's 2925-position model. The record is from RNAcentral.
UUAAGAUACUAAGGGCAUACGGUGGAUGCCUUGGCGAUAUCUGCCGAAGAAGGACGCGACAAGCUGCGAAAAGCUACGGGUAGGCGCAAAUAGCCGUUGAACCGUAGAUAUCCGAAUGGAGAAAUCCGGCGGUGGUAAUGCACCGUCACCCAUACCGACCGGUAUGAGGAGGGAACUCGGUGAACUGAAACAUCUAAGUAACCGGAGGAGAAGAAAUCAAACGAGAUACCCCAAGUAGCGGCGAGCGAACGGGGAAGAAGCCUAAACCGAAUAAGGAAACUUAAUCGGGGUUGAGGACCGACAAAAUUAGAGGAAAAGUUAGCCAAAUCUCUUGGGAAAGAGAGCCGAAGACAGUGAGAGCCUGGUAGGCGAAAACAAGAACUCUAAGGACGGAAUCCAGAGUAGUGCGGGACACGAGAAAUCCCGUAUGAAGCAGGGGGGACCACCCUCCAAGGCAAAACACAGAUAUCGACCGAUAGCGCAUAGUACCAUGAGGGAAAGGUGAAAAGCACCCCGGGAGGGGAAUGAAAGAGAACCUGAAACCGUAUGUUUACAAGCAGUCGGAGACCGCUUAAUAAUAAGGUCGACGGCGUGCCUAUUGAAGAAUGAACCGGCGAGUUACGAAGCCUGGCAAGGUUAAGCAGGAAAUGCGGAGCCGAAGCGAAAGCGAGUCUUAAGAGGGCGCAAGUCAGGAAGCGUAGACCCGAAACCACAGUGAUCUACCCAUGUCCAGGUUGAAACACAGGUAAAAAUGUGUGGAGGACCGAACCUAUAUCCGUUGAAAAGGGUUAGGAUGAGGUGUGGGUAGGGGUGAAAUUCCAAUCGAACGUGGAGAUAGCUGGUUCUCCCCGAAAUAGCUUUAGGGCUAGCCUCAGGGAAAAGAUUGCAGGCGGUAGAGCACUGAUCAGGAGAGGGACCUACCCGGUUACCAAACCCAGUCAAACUCCGAAUGGCUGCAAUCAUACCUGGGAGUCAGACUGCGACUAAUAAGGGCCGCAGUCAAAAGGGAAACAGCCCAGACCAUCAGCUAAGGUCCCCAAUGCCGUGCUAAGUGGCGAAGGAUGUGGCAUUUCAUAAACAACCAGGAUGUUGGCUCAGAAGCAGCCACCAUUUAAAGAGUGCGUAAUAGCUCACUGGUCGAGAGACGCUGCGCCGAAAAUGUCCGGGGCUCAAGCACGGAACCGAAGCUAUGGCAUGAUAGCAAUAUCAUGGGUAGGGGAGCGUUCUUAUAAGGAAGAAGCAUGACCGGAAGGACAUGUGGACAAAUAAGAAGUGAGAAUGCCGGUAUGAGUAUCGAAAAGAAAGGUGAGAAUCCUUUCCACCGAAAGCCCGAGGGUUCCUGAGCAACGAUCGUCGACUCAGGGUAAGUCGGGACCUAAGCCGAGGCGAGAAGCGUAGGCGAUGGACAACAGGUUGAAAUUCCUGUACCGGAUCAAGUCGAUCGAGCGAAGGAGCGACGCAGGAGGGCACAUGAUCGCGCGGCUGGAAGAGCGCGUCCAAGUGCGUAUGUUGCAGCAGAGGAAAACCCCUGCAGCUAAAAGCAGAGACAUGAUGGGGAGUUAAAGGAAACUUUGACGAACUCAUGGAUCCCACACUGCCAAGAAAAACUUCUAGCGAGACAAGAUCCGCCCGUACCGUAAACCGACACAGGUAGGCGGGGAGAGAAUCCUAAGGUGCGCGGGAAAACCCUCGUUAAGGAACUCGGCAAAUUGCAUCCGUAACCUAGGGAGAAGGAUGGCCCCCGGUCAGUGAAGAGCAGAAACGCUCAGAGCUAAAAGGGGCGGCAGAAAAGAGGCCCAAGCAACUGUUUACCAAAAACACAGGUGCCUGCGAAAGCGAAAGCUGAAGUAUAGGUGCUGACGCCUGCCCGGUGCCGGAAGGUUAAGGAGAGAAGUUAGCGAAAGCGAAGCAUCGAACUGAAGCCCCGGUGAACGGCGGCCGUAACUAUAACGGUCCUAAGGUAGCGAAAUUCCUUGUCGGGUAAG